ACCCGACCGCUAUCGGGGUGGGGCUAAGCCAUGGGAGUCGUACGCCCCGGUUACCGGGGCGUGGCGGACGGCUGAGUAACACGUGGCUAACCUACCCUCGGGACGGGGAUAGUCCCGGGAAACUGGGGCUAAUCCCCGAUAGGUGGAGCGGCCUUGAAGGGUCCUCCACCGAAAGGGUGUCGCGGGGAUGUCCGCGACGCCGCCCGAGGAUGGGGCCACGGCCCAUCAGGUAGUUGGCGGGGUAACGGCCCGCCAAGCCUAUAACGGGUAGGGGCCGUGAGAGCGGGAGCCCCCAGAUGGGCCCUGAGACAAGGGCCCAGGCCCUACGGGGCGCACCAGGCGCGAAAACUCC
RNAcentral lists this ribosomal RNA (352 nucleotides) under uncultured archaeon. RNAcentral describes it as "bacterial SSU rRNA". It matches the Rfam family "Archaeal small subunit ribosomal RNA", at positions 21 to 351 of the family's 1478-position model. The record is from RNAcentral.